Molecule: long non-coding RNA, 668 nt
Organism: Oncorhynchus keta (chum salmon)
Lineage: Eukaryota; Metazoa; Chordata; Actinopteri; Salmoniformes; Salmonidae
Exons: 2
Source: RefSeq, a predicted model, not a curated record
UUUCCUUAACUGUAACACAGUAAAAUCUUUGAAAUAGUUGCAGGUUGCGUUUAUAUUUUUGUUCGGUAUAGUUUCACGUCUGUCUUGAAUACUGCAGACUCCUCCGCCACUUUGUUAGAAGAGAGAAAAUGCAGCCGCUAUGGUCAUUUUCACCGUUGCAAUGAUUACGACACAAUCGGCGCCCAUAGAAACAAGCAGUGAAAUAAUCAUCCGAUCUCUUCUGAGUGAGAUAAAUGCAGAACAUCAUCAGGAGCCAGUUGUGCAGGAAAAGGGGGACCGAUGACUCCUCCCAGAAACCCUCGUAUUGAUUGCUCUUCUGGCUGCUACUCUGUCAUAUGUGACCCCACUACAACACGAUCACCACGCCAGCGAGGUGAACCAUAAGGUCACACAGUGGUGGAAAAAGUACUUAAUUGUCAUAGACACACCCUGCAGGAUCUGGUUUCCUUCUUACAGAGGAGAAAUAAACAACCCAGAAUCCCCAGUAAAUGAAGGAAGAACAAAAUACUCAACUUGAGCAACUUUCCUCCAAGGCACUAUCAUCAAUAUGAAUGUUAUCACUGACACCCACUUUGUUGUCACAAUUACAGAAUUUAUAUUGAGGACACACUGUGUUGUUGAACAUCUCUAUGUGUUUUCUAAGAUGAAUGAAAGUCUCUGUUUCAUAU